This 252-nucleotide ribosomal RNA is filed under the name uncultured bacterium. Its description in RNAcentral is "partial 16S ribosomal RNA". It matches the Rfam family "Bacterial small subunit ribosomal RNA", at positions 524 to 776 of the family's 1533-position model. The record is from RNAcentral.
UACGUAGGGUGCGAGCGUUAAUCGGAAUUACUGGGCGUAAAGGGUGCGCAGGCGGUUAUAUAAGACAGAUGUGAAAUCCCCGGGCUCAACCUGGGAACUGCGUUUGUGACUGUAUGACUAGAGUACGGUAGAGAGGGGUGGAAUUCCUGGUGUAGCAGUGAAAUGCGUAGAUAUCAGGAGGAACAUCGAUGGCGAAGGCAGCCCCUUGGACCUGUACUGACGCUCAUGCACGAAAGCGUGGGAUCAAACAGG